GUAGGUGGCGAGCGUUAUCCGGAAUUAUUGGGCGUAAAGAGGGAGCAGGCGGCACUAAGGGUCUGUGGUGAAAGAUCGAAGCUUAACUUCGGUAAGCCAUGGAAACCGUAGAGCUAGAGUGUGUGAGAGGAUCGUGGAAUUCCAUGUGUAGCGGUGAAAUGCGUAGAUAUAUGGAGGAACACCAGUGGCGAAGGCGACGAUCUGGCGCAUAACUGACGCUCAGUCCCGAAAGCGUGGGGAGCAAAUAGGAUUAGAUACCCUAGUAGUCCACGCCGUAAACGAUGAGUACUAAGUGUUGGGAGUCAAAUCUCGGUGCUGCAGUUAACGCAAUAAGUACUCCGCCUGAGUAGU
RNAcentral lists this ribosomal RNA (351 nucleotides) under uncultured bacterium. Its description in RNAcentral is "bacterial SSU rRNA". It matches the Rfam family "Bacterial small subunit ribosomal RNA", at positions 527 to 881 of the family's 1533-position model. The record is from RNAcentral.